CCAUAUAUAACAAACCUAGCUAAAGUUUAUUCCAAAAACUCUUGCCAAGUAGUAGUUUUUUACAAUUUGUCUGAAAAACGCAAAAUCUCUCUCAGUGAUUUUUCGAGUAUUCUCAGGCCGCACCGAUUCACCGAUUCGGCCCUACUUCGAUUUCAGUUUGCACGUCAGGAGCAACUUUCAUCUACCAGAAGCAUAAUUACAUUGAUGUCUUGUUGAAACUGACUUCUUGCUCCUGAGUUGAUAUGGGUUUUGAUAUCGAAUGCAUAAUCGACAUCCAUACCUAUCCUGGAGAGUAUUUCUGUCCUGUUUGUCGAACACUCGUGUACCCUAACGAAGCCUUCCAAUCACAGUGCACCCAUCUCUACUGCAAACCUUGUCUGGCGCAUGUUGCCAAUGGGAGCCGGGCCUGUCCCUAUGAUGGGUACUUAGUUACUGAAGCAGACUCUAAACCCCUUAUUGAGUCAGACAAGACACUUGCUGAAAGCAUAGGCAGAGUUAAAGUGCGUUGUCUCUAUCACAGAAGUGGAUGCACAUGGGAAGGUUCCUUGUCUGAUUGCGCUUCCCAUUGUUCUGGCUGCUCCUUUGGCAAUUCCCCAGUUAUAUGCAAUAGAUGUGGAGUCCAGAUUACGCAUCAGCAAGUGCAUGAGCAUGCCCUGAGUUGUCCUGGUGUAUAUCCUGCACAACAGACUGCUAGUGGUGCCCAAGAUAAUCCCAGCUCUGUUGCAGCCACCACUGCUGUUGUUGCUGACUCAAAUCAAACUACGGCUCAUUCAGGAACUGCAGCAUCACAGGCAUCAAAUGCUCAAACCACAACUGCUUCUCUGCUUCCUGGACAAGAUCCCAAACAGCAAACAAAUGCCAGCUCUCAGGCUCUUGCUCCAGCUCCAGCUGGUGUGCCUACUUCAGAUCAAUGGUAUCAGCAGCAGUAUCAACAGUAUUAUCAGCAAUAUGCUGGAUAUGAUCCUUAUCAACAAUACUAUCCUUAUCAGCAACAACCAAUCCAACAAUAUCAGCAACAACCUCAGAUUUACAUGCAGCCACCAGCACAAUCCCAGGCUCCGGUCCCGGCACAACCUCAAUCCCAGUCUCUGCCCCAGCCGCAACCACUUAAUCCUCAAGCUCAACCUCAAAUGCAAGCUCUACCUAAGGGGCAGACUCAACCACAGGUUCAAGCUGUGGGGCAACAGCAUCAAAACCAGGUUCAAGUCAACCGACAGCAGCAGCUCCCACCUACUAUGCAACCUCAAACCCAAAUUCCGUCACAAAUAUAUCCAACUUCUCGUGCUCAUCCUCCUACUCAGCCUCCACCAUAUCCGCAGCCCUAUCCAAUGCAGCCUCAUUCACAGCACCAUGUGCAGGUGCCACAGUAUCAGCAGCCUCCUGCCCAGGUUCAUCCUGCCCUGUCUUCUCAAGCUCAGUUGCAUCCUCCUGUGCAACCACAACCUCAUGCACAACUUCAACCGCAAACAAAUGUGCAACAGCCUCCACCAUCUCAUGGCCAAUUGCCCCCUCCUCAGGCCGGCCAGCCUGCUCAUGCACUGGGUCAGACCCUCCAUUCAACAGCCAAUGCAGUUUCAGGUUUCCAUUCCUAUCCACAACCCCAGCCCAUGCAGCAAGCGCCUAUGGGUAUGACACAGCAACCUCCUAUGCAUCCGCAUCCUACUACUGGGUCUAUGCCUCCAGUUCAGACUCAUGGUCAGGUUUCUCAACAACCUUCUUUAGUGCGCCCACCUCAAGGUAUACCCAGCAAUCAGCAACCGGUGUUGGUACCUUCUCAAGGUCAAGCUCCCGCACAAUCUCAACUUUAUCCUACUGCUCAACAAUCAGGACAUUCAAUUCAGCAACAUCCUGUUCAGCCUAACCAACAGCCGAUGCCCCAACAAUACAGUCAACAGCAUACAUUUCCUGGUCCAUUUCCGAGCCAGUCACACCAACAAGGUCAUUUUACUCACCAGCAGCCAUUGCAGACUCAGUUUCGCCCUCAAGGUCUUCCUAAUGUGGUGCCUCAAAGUUUACAUGGAUAUAUUCAGCCACAGCAAAAUGUCGCCUUACCACCUCCCCCACAACCUCAACAAUCUCAGACAUAUAUAGGAAGGCCUGGGAUGCAAAAUCAUGUGCAGUCGAUUUCUCAGGCUCAUGGUGGAUAUAAUAUUACAGCGCAGGUUAGACCUGUCCAGCCUGCUUUAGGCCAGUCACAAAUGAAUCCAAGUUAUGGGAACCACAUGAGCAACGAACAUGAGUCUAUGGAUCAGAAGAAACGGUCUGCCCUUGAAAGUAAAGGUGAUCUGUUACCUGACAAAACUGCAGGAAGGCCAGAAGGGGGAGUUCCUUCCCAGGAUAAUGCUCAAGAGGAUCUAGGUUCCCUUGCAGCCAAAUCAAUUGAUGCAGUGGCCCCAAGAUUUGAAGCUGACCUAGAUGAUGAACAGCAGAAGCGUAGGAAAGCAAUUGAUGAGUAUAGACAGAGGGUCAGCAGUGAUAUAGAUGUUCAUAAGGGUGAUUCGGAUGAGAUUAUAGACAAAAGAACUGUUAAGGAAGAGGGAAAUGAGAAUUUGUUGAAGCCUAAAUCUGCUGCCAAAUCAGCUGAUGCAGCAGUUAAGCCAGACAAAGAUGCCUAUGAUGGUGGUAUCCCUGGUCCAGGGUCUACAACAUCCUUUGCUAGGGGCCGUGGUCAUUUUCCUCCACCAGGUGAAUUCCGAGAAGGGAUAAGGGGAAUGGGAAGAGCACCAUUAAGUGGUGCUGAAAUUCCUAGUGGAACACAACACUCAGUGAAUCCAGCAGAAGCUGAAAUGUUUCAUAACCAAAGGGUGAAUCGGUUUGAAGGAAAUCAAGGAAACCCAUUUCCCCCAGGGUCUUUUGAGAAGGUUCCAUUCGGCCAACCUAGAAGUAUGGAAUCAGCUAGGGAUAAAAGGUUGAAGGCGCCUAUGGGGGAGCAUUUAAGUCCUUUACAAGUGCCUCACGAUCAAGUAUCUCGGCCACUUGACAGACCACCUCACGCAUUUGGAUAUGAUUCUGGAUCAAAAUUUGAGGCGAGUGCUGGGGUUCCACCUAACAGAUUGUUGCCUCCAUAUAAUCCUCCUGGUUCAAUGCAUUUCAAGGAUAGUGGAGAAAGAGAAGCACCGCUUGGUCCUCAUGACGACGACAGAAAAAGGGGAGGGUCUGGAUUUGGUGUGCAUCAUAUGGAUUAUUUGUCUGCCAGGAAUCCUGACGGGGAGUUCUCUAACAUUCCACCACGUGGAUUUGCAAGUCGAGUAGGCUUUGAAGAUUUUGGUGGCAGAGACCCCCAUCAAUUUAUUGAAGGGCCUGGACCUUUCAAUUUACCUUCCAAUCUAGCUGGCAGCUUAUACUCUGAUGGUAGGUUCCAAACUUUGCCUGGCCAUUCACAUGGCGGUGAGAUUGAUAGUCGUGGGGAUUUGACAGGUGGCGAGCAUACUACCUUUGGUCGUCCUUACAAACAUGUACGGAGUGGUGAUCUUUUUGGGAAAGACGCUCCAAGUCAUUUGCAUCGUGGUGAGCCUCCAGAUCCUCAGAAAUUACCCCGUCAUUUACGUUUUGGUGAACCUACAGGCUUUGGUCCCUUUGGUGGCCGUGCUUACAUGGGAGAGUUGUCUGCGUUUGGAGAUAUUCCUGGUUUUGGCGAAUCAAUUGGACGCAACAAACCUGGUAUGCCACGGUUUGGGGAGCCUGGCUUCAGGAGCAGGUAUCCUCUCCCAGGAUAUCCGAAUCAUGGACCUUUUGCAGGUGAUGUGGACUCCUUUGACAGACCAAGAAAGAGGAAGCCCAUGAGCAUGGGAUGGUGCCGCAUUUGCAAGAUUGAUUGUGAAACUGUUGAGGGCCUAGAUAUGCACUCACAGACAAGACAGCACCAAGAUAUGGCUAUUGAUAUGGUUAGGUCUAUCAAGGAGCAAAACCGAAAGAAACAUAAGACUUUUGGUGAUCGAGCUUCAGUUGAAGAGAAAGGUCAAACUAGAAAGGCAGUGUUCGAGGGCCGUGGUAGAAAGGCUUGAGCCUGGAAUGGUAAAUAGGAAGUGAAAAGAUGGUUGUAACUAAGCCUUCAGUCAAGCAUUUGCAUCGGAAAGUAGGUGAUUAGCUUUACAGUCUUUCUUCUUUUUCUGGGGGGGUUGUUUUUAUCCUAGCUUUGUUAUUUCAGGUUGCUGCCCUGUUCUUCGAGAUGGUUUUGGAUUGGAAGUUUCUGUGGCAGAAUGUCUUGAGAUAUUUGAAGCUUAGAUAAGAAGAAAAUAGAAACAAGGAAGCAAGAAAGGAUCGACAUCACAAAGCGUCACAACAGGAGUAAAAAAUGGCAAAGUAGACGCAGGGUUGACUCAAGGGCCGCUCAAGUUUGAAGUUAUUAAAGCGUUUGUUUUAGGAGCCCAAAAUUUUAUUGCCCUAAAAAUUUGGCAAAAUGGUUUAGUGGACCUUUGUACUAUGUUCAUUUUGUAAUGUGGAUACUCUUACUUA
Capsicum annuum is the source of this 4455-nucleotide RNA transcript. It is a transcript of the gene named chromodomain-helicase-DNA-binding protein 7, with no coding region annotated. The transcript has 8 exons. The record is from RefSeq and is a predicted model, not a curated record. NCBI's taxonomy places the organism in Eukaryota, Viridiplantae, Streptophyta, Magnoliopsida, Solanales, Solanaceae.